AAGCGAGCGGCGGAUGGGUGAGUAACACGUGGGGAACCUGCCCCUAAGUCUGGGAUACCAUUUGGAAACAGGUGCUAAUACCGGAUAAUAAAGCAGAUCGCAUGAUCAGCUUUUGAAAGGCGGCGUAAGCUGUCGCUAAGGGAUGGCCCCGCGGUGCAUUAGCUAGUUGGUAAGGUAACGGCUUACCAAGGCGACGAUGCAUAGGCGAGUUGAGAGACUGAUCGGCCACAUUGGGACUGAGACACGGCCCAAACUCCUACGGGAGGCAGCAGUAGGGAAUCUUCCACAAUGGACGCAGGUCUGAUGGAGCAACGCCGCGUGAGUGAAGAAGGUUUUCGGAUCGUAAAGCUCUGUUGUUGGUGAAGAAGGAUAGAGGUAGUAACUGGCCUUUAUUUGACGGUAAUCAACCAGAAAGUCACGGCUAACUACGUGCCAGCAGCCGCGGUAAUACGUAGGUGGCAAGCGUUGUCCGGAUUUAUUGGGCGUAAAGCGAGCGCAGGCUGAAAAAUAAGUCUAAUGUGAAAGCCCUCGGCUUAACCGAGGAACUGC
RNAcentral lists this ribosomal RNA (549 nucleotides) under uncultured bacterium. Its description in RNAcentral is "bacterial SSU rRNA". It matches the Rfam family "Bacterial small subunit ribosomal RNA", at positions 89 to 624 of the family's 1533-position model. The record is from RNAcentral.